RNAcentral lists this ribosomal RNA (497 nucleotides) under uncultured bacterium. Its description in RNAcentral is "partial 16S ribosomal RNA". It matches the Rfam family "Bacterial small subunit ribosomal RNA", at positions 28 to 507 of the family's 1533-position model. The record is from RNAcentral.
GAUGAACGCUGGCGGCGUGCCUAAUACAUGCAAGUCGAGCGAACAGACGAGGAGCUUGCUCCUCUGACGUUAGCGGCGGACAGGUGAGUAACACGUGGAUAACCUACCUAUAAGACUGGGAUAACUUCGGGAAACCGGAGCUAAUACCGGAUAAUAUAUUGAACCGCAUGGUUCAAUAGUGAAAGACGGUUUUGCUGUCACUUAUAGAUGGAUCCGCGCCGCAUUAGCUAGUUGGUAAGGUAACGGCUUACCAAGGCGAGGAUGCGUAGCCGACCUGAGAGGGUGAUCGGCCACACUGUAACUGAGACACGGUCCAGACUCCUACGGGAGGCAGCAGUAGGGAAUCUUCCGCAAUGGGCGAAAGCCUGACGGAGCAACGCCGCGUGAGUGAUGAAGGUCUUCGGAUCGUAAAACUCUGUUAUUAUUGAAGAACAAAUGUGUAAGUAACUAUGCACGUCUUGACGGUACCUAAUCAGAAAGCCACGGCUAACUACGUG